CAGCGCUGCAGCCUCGGGAGACGCCGGCCGGGCCGGGCCCAGCGUCGCAGGGCUGCUGGCUGCGGGGCAUGCUCACCCCAGGAGUGGUGAAUGUGGGAGCUCGCGGCCACCUGCAUCACCUGUCCCGCCCCGACGCCGUGGCCAGCCCUGCGACAAGGCUGGACUGGGCGGGGGGCUGAGGUGGGCACCGGGCUGCCGCUGGCUCCCACACUGCCCGCUGUGCCCGCUGCCCCAGCCACCCCUGCUGCCGGAGCCUCCUACCUGGGCCGCAACGGCCAGGAUCGCAAAGAAAUCCCUCCCCUCGGUGCAGCUGCGGGCACAGUUCUGGCUUCAGUGAUCCUCUCACUGGAGCACCAUCUCAAUACUUAGAGAGACUUUCCAAAAUAGCCAUAUUGGAAUAUGAUACCAUUCGUCAGGAAACAACCACAAAAUCAAAAAAAAGCAAGAAACGAGACCUCCGAGACCGCUGAAAAAUGUCGUACAGUGUGAUGCUUUCUUCAGUGA
This 504-nucleotide long non-coding RNA is filed under the name Homo sapiens (human). RNAcentral's name for it is "non-protein coding lnc-C8orf89-5:1". Lineage: Eukaryota; Metazoa; Chordata; Mammalia; Primates; Hominidae. The record is from RNAcentral.